AGGAUAAACGCUGGCGGCGUGCCUAACACAUGCAAGUCGAACGCCCUACGCAAGUAGGGAGUGGCGGACGGGUGAGGAACACGUGGGUUAUCUGCCUUUCGGUGAGGAAUACCAGCGAGAAAUCGCUGACAAUACCGCAUACGGUUCUCUCGUGAGAGAGAACGAAAGUCGUAAGACGCCGGGAGAUGAGCCUGCGCCCGAUUAGUUUGUUGGUGGGGUAAAAGCCUACCAAGACUGCAAUCGGUAGC
RNAcentral lists this ribosomal RNA (248 nucleotides) under uncultured bacterium. RNAcentral describes it as "partial small subunit ribosomal RNA". It matches the Rfam family "Bacterial small subunit ribosomal RNA", at positions 26 to 287 of the family's 1533-position model. The record is from RNAcentral.